RNAcentral lists this ribosomal RNA (301 nucleotides) under uncultured bacterium. RNAcentral describes it as "partial 16S ribosomal RNA". It matches the Rfam family "Bacterial small subunit ribosomal RNA", at positions 509 to 807 of the family's 1533-position model. The record is from RNAcentral.
CAGUAGCCGCGGUAAUACGAGGGGGGCAAGCGUUGUUCGGAAUUAUUGGGCGUAAAGGGUGCGUAGGCGGUUUGGCAAGUUUCGUGUGAAAACUUCGGGCUCAACCCGAAGCCUGCACGGAAAACUGCCGGGCUUGAGUAUGGGAGAGGUGAGUGGAAUUUCCGGUGUAGCGGUGAAAUGCGUAGAUAUCGGAAGGAACACCUGUGGCGAAAGCGGCUCACUGGACCAUAACUGACGCUGAGGCACGAAAGCUAGGGGAGCAAACAGGAUUAGAUACCCCCGUAGUCCCUGUCUCUUAUAC